Molecule: long non-coding RNA, 688 nt
Filed under: Androctonus crassicauda
Lineage: Eukaryota; Metazoa; Arthropoda; Arachnida; Scorpiones; Buthidae
Source: RNAcentral
GUAUACACCAAUUCAGAUUUUAGAUAUAAACUGAAUAGUAUUGUUCUAGAACAAUGUUAAGUCAACAUUAUCUGAUCAAAGCGCCUACUUGCUCAAGGCUUUUUGCAUACAUAAAAACACAUAAAAAUCCGAUAACAGCUAGGCCUAUAGUAGAGAAAAAUCUAUGUCCCUAUCUAUAACUUAGAAAGGAAAAUAGUAUCAUGGGUGAUGAGGAUUAUGGGCCAAACAAUUAAUUCAACCACGAUAACAACACAAGCCCUUGCAAGAUUAAGAGAAAUCCAAUUGGAAGACGGGGAUCUUAUAGCAACGUUUGACUAUGAAAACUUAUAUCCCUCCUUGGAAAUCCAGCCUACAUGCCUAGCAUUCUAUAGGUUUCUCCUCACUAAUGUACAAGAUUCACAACGUAAAGCACCAUUGCUCAGAGAUUUAGCAUACCAUAUACCAUAAAUCAUAUUUUACUUUUAAAGGGAAUUAUUAUAUGCAGUGUAAAGGAGAGCCUAUAGGAAGUCCCAUGGCAGAAAUUGUACUAAGGAAGCAGAGGCUAAAGUCCUAGGUAAGCUACAAAGUGGCAUGAAAUUCUAUUUACGCUACGUCAAUGAUAUUUUAACAGUAUGGAACAAAGGACAGGAUCCAAAAAUCAUAACGGAGCAUUUAACAAUAAAUGUGUAUGGCAUAGUAUUGAAAGAGC